CCCUUAGAUGUCCUGGGCCGCACGCGCGUUACACUGAUGCAUUCAACGAGCUUAUAACCUUGGCCGAGAGGCCUGGGCAAUCUUGUUAACGUGCAUCGUGAUAGGGAUAGAUUAUUGAAAUUAUUAAUCUUGAACGAGGAAUUCCUAGUAAACGCAAGUCAUCAGCUUGCAUUGAUUACGUCCCUGCCCUUUGUACACACCGCCCGUCGCACCUACCGAUUGAAUGGUCCGGUGAAAUCUUGGGAUUUUGUUUUGUUUGCAUUUAUUUGUAUCGAGACGAGAGAACUUGAGUAAACCUUACCAUUUAGAGGAAGGUGAAGUCGUAACA
This 328-nucleotide ribosomal RNA is filed under the name uncultured eukaryote. Its description in RNAcentral is "partial 18S ribosomal RNA". It matches the Rfam family "Eukaryotic small subunit ribosomal RNA", at positions 1470 to 1796 of the family's 1831-position model. The record is from RNAcentral.